GACGUAGGGGGCGAGCGUUGUCCGGAAUCACUGGGCGUAAAGGGCGCGUAGGCGGCCUGGCAAGUCGGAUGUGAAAGGUCCCGGCUCAACCGGGGAGGUGCAUUCGAAACUGCCAGGCUUGAGGGCAGGAGAGGGCAGCGGAAUUCCCGGUGGAGCGGUGAAAUGCGUAGAGAUCGGGAGGAACACCAGUGGCGAAGGCGGCUGCCUGGCCUGGCCCUGACGCUGAGGCGCGACAGCGUGGGGAGCGAACGGG
This 253-nucleotide ribosomal RNA is filed under the name uncultured Thermaerobacter sp. RNAcentral describes it as "partial 16S ribosomal RNA". It matches the Rfam family "Bacterial small subunit ribosomal RNA", at positions 524 to 776 of the family's 1533-position model. The record is from RNAcentral. Lineage: Bacteria; Bacillati; Bacillota; Clostridia; Eubacteriales; Clostridiales Family XVII. Incertae Sedis.